GACGAACGCUGGCGGCGUGCCUAAUACAUGCAAGUAGAACGCUGAAGGAGGAGCUUGCUUCUCUGGAUGAGUUGCGAACGGGUGAGUAACGCGUAGGUAACCUGCCUGGUAGCGGGGGAUAACUAUUGGAAACGAUAGCUAAUACCGCAUAAUAGUAGAUGUUGCAUGACAUUUACUUAGAAGGUGCAAUUGCAUCACUACCAGAUGGACCUGCGUUGUAUUAGCUAGUUGGUGGGGUAACGGCUCACCAAGGCGACGAUACAUAGCCGACCUGAGAGGGUGAUCGGCCACACUGGGACUGAGACACGGCCCAGACUCCUACGGGAGGCAGCAGUAGGGAAUCUUCGGCAAUGGACGAAAGUCUGACCGAGCAACGCCGCGUGAGUGAAGAAGGUUUUCGGAUCGUAAAGCUCUGUUGUAAGAGAAGAACGAGUGUGAGAGUGGAAAGUUCACACUGUGACGGUAUCUUACCAGAAAGGGACGGCUAACUACGUG
Molecule: ribosomal RNA, 495 nt
Filed under: uncultured bacterium
Lineage: Bacteria
Description: partial 16S ribosomal RNA
Rfam family: Bacterial small subunit ribosomal RNA
Source: RNAcentral